AUUGAACGCUGGCGGCAGGCCUAACACAUGCAAGUCGAACGAGUGGCGGACGGGUGAGUAAUGUCUGGGAAACUGCCCGAUGGAGGGGGGUAACUACUGGAAACGGUAGCUAAUACCGCAUACCAUCGGAUGUGCCCAGAUGGGAUUAGCUAGUGGGUGGGGUAACGGCUCACCUAGGCGACGAUCCCUAGCUGGUCUGAGAGGAUGACCAGCCACACUGGAACGAAGACACGUGCCAGACUCCUACGGGAGGCAGCAGUGGGGAAGAUUGCAAAAUGGGCGCAAGCCUGAUGCAGCCAGACGGCGUUUAUGAAGAAGGCCUUCGGGUUGUAAAGUACUUUCAGCGAGGAGGCGUUACUCGCAGAAGAAGCACCGGCUAACUCCGUGCCAGCCGCCGCGGUAAUAC
This 406-nucleotide ribosomal RNA is filed under the name uncultured bacterium. RNAcentral describes it as "partial 16S ribosomal RNA". It matches the Rfam family "Bacterial small subunit ribosomal RNA", at positions 30 to 526 of the family's 1533-position model. The record is from RNAcentral.